This 362-nucleotide ribosomal RNA is filed under the name Candidatus Solibacter sp. RNAcentral's name for it is "partial 23S ribosomal RNA". It matches the Rfam family "Bacterial large subunit ribosomal RNA", at positions 2570 to 2925 of the family's 2925-position model. The record is from RNAcentral. Lineage: Bacteria; Pseudomonadati; Acidobacteriota; Terriglobia; Bryobacterales; Solibacteraceae.
GGUUGGGCUGUUCGCCCAUUAAAGCGGUACGUGAGCUGGGUUCAGAACGUCGCGAGACAGUUCGGUCCCUAUCUGUGGUGGGCGCAGGAGAUUUGAGGGGGCUUGUCCUUAGUACGAGAGGACCGGGAUGAACGAACCUCUUGUGAUCCAGUUGUCACUCCAGUGGCACAGCUGGGUAGCGAAGUUCGGUGAGGAUAAACGCUGAAUGCAUAUAAGCGUGAAACCUUCCCCAAGAUGAGAUCUCCCAAGCCGUAAGGCUAAGAAGGGCACUGGAAGACUACCAGUUUGAUAGGACGGAUGUGUAAGCGCAGCAAUGCGUUGAGCUAACCGUUACUAAUAGCCCAUUCGGCUUGACCAUAAAA